Long non-coding RNA from Oncorhynchus gorbuscha (pink salmon), 421 nucleotides. RefSeq lists it as uncharacterized. Lineage: Eukaryota; Metazoa; Chordata; Actinopteri; Salmoniformes; Salmonidae. The transcript is spliced from 3 exons. The record is from RefSeq and is a predicted model, not a curated record.
GAGCAGUAUCAUUUCAUCCAAUUGAUAAGACUAGAAACAUAUCGUUUGGAGAUUUACCUGCAGAAGAGCAUCACAUUUUAAUCUUACAAUGGACUUCUGCUCUGCAUCACAGCAAACCAGAAGCCUCAGCUCAUGGAUCACCCUCUUCCUCCUGUACUCAAUUGUCACCAUGUGCACUAGAGUAGAGGGCUGGUCCUACCAUCACUCCAACAAACUAUGAACUGGGACACUGCUAGAAAGUGGUGCACGGAGCACUACACUGACAUGGUGGCCAUCCAGAACCGUGGAAAGAUCUACCACCUUAAAGGUCCCCAAAGCACACACAUUCAUGAGUUGUUCGUCUUUUCAGUUCGUUACAGCUAGCGACUGGAACGAGCUGCAACAAACACUCAAACUGGACAGUUUUAUAUAUAAUAAUAAU